GAUGAACGCUGGCGGCGUGCCUAAUACAUGCAAGUCGAGCGAACAGACGAGGAGCUUGCUCCUCUGACGUUAGCGGCGGACGGGUGAGUAACACGUGGAUAACCUACCUAUAAGACUGGGCUAACUUCGGGAAUCCGGAGCUAAUUCCGGAUAAUAUAUUGAACCGCAUGGUUCAAUAGUGAAAUACGGUUUUUCUGUCACUUAUAGAUUGAUCCGCGCCGCAUUAGCUAGUUGGUAAGGUAACUGCUUACCAAGGCAACGAUGAGUAGCCGACCUGAGAGGGGGAUCGGCCAAACUGGAACGGAGACACGGACCAGACUACUACGGGAGGCAGAAGUAGGGAAUCUGCCGCAAUGGGCGAAAGCAUGACGGAGCAACGCCGCGUGAGUGAUGAAGGUCUUCGGAUCGUAAAACUCUGUUAUUAGGGAAGAAAAAAUGUGUAAGUAAAUAUGCACGUCUUGACGGUACCUAAUCAGAAAGCCACGGCUAACUACGUG
Molecule: ribosomal RNA, 497 nt
Filed under: uncultured bacterium
Lineage: Bacteria
Description: partial 16S ribosomal RNA
Rfam family: Bacterial small subunit ribosomal RNA
Source: RNAcentral